UCUCCGUUGGUGAACCAGCGGAGGGAUCAUUACAGAGUUGCAAAACUCCCAAACCAUUGUGAACGUUACCUCUCCCGUUGCUUCGGCGGGCGGCCCGGGCCCCGCGCCCGGCGCCCCCCGGCCCCCCGUGGGCGCCCGCCAGAGACCUCACAGACUCUGAAUGUUAGUGUCGUCCGAGUAACUAUAUAAUCGUUGAAACUUUCAACAACGGAUCUCUUGGUUCUG
Molecule: unclassified non-coding RNA, 225 nt
Filed under: plant metagenome
Description: partial contains small subunit ribosomal RNA, internal transcribed spacer 1, and 5.8S ribosomal RNA
Source: RNAcentral